AGAAUCAACGCUGGCGGCGUGCCUAACACAUGCAAGUCGAACGAGAAAGUGGAGCAAUCCAUGAGUAAAGUGGCGCACGGGCGAGUAACACGUGACUAACCUACCCUUGAGGGGGGGAUAACCUAGAGAAAUCUGGGCUAAUACCGCAUAAUACCUUCGGGUCAAAGGAGCAAUUCGCUUAAGGAGGGGGUCGCGGCCGAUUAGUUAGUUGGCGGGGUAAUGGCCCACCAAGACUGUGAUCGGUA
This 245-nucleotide ribosomal RNA is filed under the name uncultured bacterium. RNAcentral describes it as "partial small subunit ribosomal RNA". It matches the Rfam family "Bacterial small subunit ribosomal RNA", at positions 26 to 285 of the family's 1533-position model. The record is from RNAcentral.